Molecule: ribosomal RNA, 672 nt
Filed under: uncultured Bacteroidota bacterium
Lineage: Bacteria; Pseudomonadati; Bacteroidota
Description: bacterial SSU rRNA
Rfam family: Bacterial small subunit ribosomal RNA
Source: RNAcentral
CAAUAUAUGAGACCGGCGCACGGGUGCGUAACGCGUAUGCAAUCUACCUUUUACAGAGGGAUAGCCCAGAGAAAUUUGGAUUAAUACCUCAUAGUAUAUUUUGAUGGCAUCAUCAGAUUAUUAAAGUUCCAACGGUAAAAGAUGAGCAUGCGUCCUAUUAGCUAGUUGGUGUGGUAACGGCACACCAAGGCUACGAUAGGUAGGGGUCCUGAGAGGGAGAUCCCCCACACUGGUACUGAGACACGGACCAGACUCCUACGGGAGGCAGCAGUGAGGAAUAUUGGACAAUGGGCGCAAGCCUGAUCCAGCCAUGCCGCGUGCAGGAAGACGCAUCUAUGGUGUGUAAACUGCUUUUGUACGGGAAGAAACACUCCUACGUGUAGGAGCUUGACGGUACCGUAAGAAUAAGGAUCGGCUAACUCCGUGCCAGCAGCCGCGGUAAUACGGAGGAUCCAAGCGUUAUCCGGAAUCAUUGGGUUUAAAGGGUCCGUAGGCGGUUUGAUAAGUCAGUGGUGAAAGCCCAUCGCUCAGCGAUGGAACGGCCAUUGAUACUGUCAGACUUGAAUUACUGGGAAGUAACUAGAAUAUGUAGUGUAGCGGUGAAAUGCUUAGAUAUUACAUGGAAUACCAAUUGCGAAGGCAGGUUACUACCAGUGGAUUGACGCUGAUGGA